GUUAGAACGUUCUCUCCAUUCCAGAAUGUGAUUGUUAUGUAACAGUACAUUUAACCUGCGCUGCCCUCAAACCAAAGCACGCAGCCUGUUUUAUUUGUCAAUUUAAAAUUAUUUUCUAACAAGUUUUUUAUUUUCUAAUAACAGUUUGAAAUGAUGUGUGUUUCGCCUUAUUCAUUCACAUAAAAGUAGUCAUUUUUACUUUUGCGGACCAAUUAAUUUUUGGGACAUUUCUGACCCGGACAAAAUUCCCCAAACACUUCUCAAUUGUUUGUGCAGGACAUUUACUCAUCUGCCGUCCUGCAUACACGUGUUCAUAUUUUCCACCUGUCGCCUGCAUCGAAAUCAAAGUUGUUUUCGUUACCAAUAAUACCUUUGGUAAUGUGUGCGUUUCUAUCAAAGUGCCUUAAUACGUUAUAAUAGUUUCUGCAUGUCGUGUUAUGUCGUUUCUACUGUAACGUCAUGUUUUUAUGUACAUUCCUUAUAACCGCGGACAGGCGAUGUAACGUUACUCAUUUCAUAACAUUUAUGGUGUUAUACUCAAUGCUUAGGUAUCUAGCUACAUUCUCCUAUUAGUUCUGGCAAACAAUGCUAAUUUCGUCAGGGAAGUAUUAGCAUGUGUUGUAUUUCGAAGCUACCCUGGCCUUAUGACUCCCAAGUGGCACAGCGUCUCAGCGCUAGAAGCGUCACUCCAGACACCCAUCUUCAAAUCAAGACUGCGUUUCUAUCAAAGUGGUCCACCUUCCCUGUGGCCAACAUGGUUGCUGUAUGGACAACGGAGAGGACUUGGACGUCUCGUUUGUCAUGCCACUUUACUGCCAGCUGUUAACAUUUCUUAUUUUGUAUAACGGGUCAUUUAGGAUGGUAGUAGCGUUGAUGAAAUGCAGUCAUAGCAGCAGAACUAGAAAGCAGUCUUUACUGUCACCAGGAAUGUGUACAUUUCACAAAUUGUGGUUGUCCCCCACUCCUGGCUCUCUCUUCUCCUGUAGCUCCAAGGCAUAGUGAUUGGUCUCUACUAUGUCUCCCACCAGCUCCUCUGUCAGAAACAACUUGAAGCACUCUGCCUCAGUUGGAAAUGGCAAGGGGCGUUGCACUCCAGACUGGGACUCAUCAACACAAUCAGCAGGGCCAGGAGGGAUGAAAUGGCUGGCAGCCUUCCAGCUACCACAGAACUGUACUUCAUCCACUGUCAGUCUGCCACCAUCACCACCAGCAUCUUCAAAGGGACCUGGGACUUCGUCAGUGGACAAGGGAAAUUCAGAUUCAGGGUUCUCAGUGGCUACAAGGUUGGGGGGCAGCUCCUCACUCAGUCAGAAUCUGAUUCCUGACUUUCAUACUCUGACUCAUUGUCAGAAUUUUUUAAAAAUCUCCAUAAUUUCCACAUUUGUUUGUUGUCUCCUUUUGAAAGAUUGCUAAUGCUUCAGCUUAGCUCACUAGCUACAUACAUAAACAACAACACUGAAUGGUUUACAGUGAGAGGGUACGUGGUUGACUGCCGGCACGCGCCACUUGUAUCAAUAAAUCACUAUCAGAAAAUG
Long non-coding RNA from Salvelinus fontinalis (brook trout), 1535 nucleotides. RefSeq lists it as uncharacterized. Lineage: Eukaryota; Metazoa; Chordata; Actinopteri; Salmoniformes; Salmonidae. The record is from RefSeq and is a predicted model, not a curated record. The transcript is spliced from 2 exons.